This 307-nucleotide long non-coding RNA is filed under the name Vitis vinifera (wine grape). Its description in RNAcentral is "long non-coding RNA (VVIN_LNC004367)". Lineage: Eukaryota; Viridiplantae; Streptophyta; Magnoliopsida; Vitales; Vitaceae. The record is from RNAcentral.
AGUCUUGUUUAAUGGGAGGUUAUAUGUUUGAGCCUCAUUGCAUAAUAUUUAUUUCCCCAAUUUAUUAAGUUGGCAUGUAAGCCCAAAUGAUGCUGAUUGUGGUUAUUUGCCUAUGAGCUUGUGUCUCUAGGUGUGGGUAUGAGGUCGUAUGUGAGGGAGGGUGUUAAGAGUAUGAUAUAUAUUGUGGGCCCAAGUCUUACAAGUUUAAACUUUUAGAGUAUGAUAUAUAUUGUGGGCCCAAGUCUUACAAGUUUAAACUUUUAGGAAAAUUGGUAGUUCAACAUUUAUUAUUAUCAUUUUUUUGGGU